UUCCACUUGUCAUCUUUAGUUCAAGUGCCCUGGAAUCGAAGUCUACAUCUUCAAACAAUCUUCCUUACCACCACCACUUGCGGGGCAUCCACAGGUCUGCAAAUCCCCCUGCUGCUUUCAUGUGCCAUGGCACAUGCCACGACGUUGUGUGACUUUUGCCAAUCUGAGAUCCGAGCUGUGCUGCCUUUUCCUGUCUGAACUCUGAGUCAGGCAAUACUAAAACCAGUCCCUAGGACAGCUUGCAGAUAUAUUAGAAAGUUGCAGGUUUUGCUUCACAUUUGGGAAACUCUUUUGUUAAAGGUAUAUAUAACACAUCCGAUGAAGGGCUGAUAACUAGAAUCUAUUUAGAACUCAGGAAAACC
This is a non-coding RNA of Microcebus murinus (gray mouse lemur), 362 nucleotides long. NCBI's taxonomy places the organism in Eukaryota, Metazoa, Chordata, Mammalia, Primates, Cheirogaleidae. The record is from RefSeq and is a predicted model, not a curated record.